RNAcentral lists this transfer RNA (18 nucleotides) under Medauroidea extradentata. RNAcentral describes it as "partial tRNA-Leu". Lineage: Eukaryota; Metazoa; Arthropoda; Insecta; Phasmatodea; Phasmatidae. The record is from RNAcentral.
GAAAUACUUUUAUUAGAA